AUGGGCGCAAGCCUGAUCCAGCAAUACCGCGUGUGUGAAGAAGGCCUUAGGGUUGUAAAGCACUUUCAAUUGGGAGGAAAACCUGUCGGUCAAUACCCGGCAGCUUGACAUUACCUUUAGAAGAAGCACCGGCUAACUCCGUGCCAGCAGCCGCGGUAAUACGGAGGGUGCAAGCGUUAAUCGGAAUUACUGGGCGUAAAGCGUGCGUAGGCGGUUCGUUAAGUCAGAUGUGAAAGCCCCGGGCUUAACCUGGGGAACUGCAUUUGAAACUGGCGGACUUGAGUUGAGUAGAGGGGAGUGGAAUUUCAGGUGUAGCGGUGAAAUGCGUAGAUAUCUGAAGGAACACCAGUGGCGAAGGCGACUCCCUGGACUCAAACUGACGCUGAGGUACGAAAGCGUGGGUAGCAAACAGGAUUAGAUACCCUGGUAGUCCACGCUGUAAACGAUGUCAACUAGCCGUUGGUCCUAUUUACAGGAUUAGUGGCGCAGCUAACGCAUUAAGUUGACCGCCUGGGGAGUACGGCCGCAAGGUUAAAACUCAAAUAG
RNAcentral lists this ribosomal RNA (546 nucleotides) under uncultured bacterium. RNAcentral describes it as "bacterial SSU rRNA". It matches the Rfam family "Bacterial small subunit ribosomal RNA", at positions 371 to 908 of the family's 1533-position model. The record is from RNAcentral.